This 494-nucleotide ribosomal RNA is filed under the name uncultured bacterium. RNAcentral's name for it is "partial 16S ribosomal RNA". It matches the Rfam family "Bacterial small subunit ribosomal RNA", at positions 28 to 507 of the family's 1533-position model. The record is from RNAcentral.
GACGAACGCUGGCGGCGUGCUUAACACAUGCAAGUCGAACGGAAAGGCCUGUCCUUCCUUGUGUUGGACGGGUACUCGAGUGGCGAACGGGUGAGUAACACGUGAGUGAUCUGCCCCCAACUUGGGUAUAGGCCUGGGAAACUGGGUCUAAUUCCCGAUAGGACUGCAGGGUGGUGCCUGUGGUGGAAAACGAUUUUCUAGUGGUUGGGGAUGAGCUCGCGGCCUAUCAGCUUGUUGGUGGGGUAAUGGCCUACCAAGGCGGCGACGGGUAGCCGGCCUGAGAGGGUGGACGGCCACAUUGGGACUGAGAUACGGCCCAGACUCCUACGGGAGGCAGCAGUGGGGAAUAUUGCACAAUGGGCGGAAGCCUGAUGCAGCGACGCCGCGUGGGGGAUGACGGCCUUCGGGUUGUAAACUCCUUUCGACCGCGAGGAGGCCGCCUGGUUGGAAGGGUGGUGACGGUAGUGGUAGAAGAAGCACCGGCUAACUACGUG